This 972-nucleotide long non-coding RNA is filed under the name Ictidomys tridecemlineatus (thirteen-lined ground squirrel). RNAcentral's name for it is "lncRNA (ENSSTOG00000032559.1)". The record is from RNAcentral. Lineage: Eukaryota; Metazoa; Chordata; Mammalia; Rodentia; Sciuridae.
CUGGGAGCCUGACACAUGGCACACAUCUGGUGGGCUCUGUGCUGCAACCGCACCCGGCAUCUGCCUUGCUGUCCUGGGCCACUUCUGCCUACAAUGUGUGGCCUCGGCUCGGGGUCUUGCUGGGAGACACAUCUGUUUCCCCUGGGGAAGACUCCAGCCCCGGGGUCCCUCACCCACUCCUUGUCCCCAGUGCCACCCUGUCAUGCUGCUCAGUAGAGCCAUGCUCCGGUGCUGCUGUGGUUGUUGAUCCUCAGAGUUGGGGAUCUGUGAAAGCAGCUGAUGUGGAUUUUUGACCUGAAGAACAGAGUAUACUUUACAACCAGGUGUGUAUGUGUGUAUGUGUGUGUGUGCAAACACACAGACGCUCUCGUGAAUUCCCAUCAUACAUACAGACACACUCUCAAACUUUCCAGAGUUCCCGGGACCUCUUGACAUGGCCUAGUGCCUGCUGGUGCUGUGUGCCCCUGGCCUGCGUCUUGGGAGAUCUACUUGAAGGUCACCUCAGAGGCCAGAGCUCUGCUGGCCUCUUGGAGGCUGGCUGUGCUGGGGCCUGCCUCUGUCCUUGCUGCGGUGUCACAUCUUGGUCCUGGUCUGUGUUCUGCCCCUGUGCUGUACCUCCGUUCUCCUCCCAGGUGAGGCUUUUCGACCUCCUCAGGAUACAGGGCAACUGUACAUCAGCCUCAUCCCUUCCGGAGCAGCUUCAGAAGGCCCACUUAGGCUCUGGGGGCGCUUGCGGAAGACCCUGCUUGGGGAGAUGCCUGGUGUUUGUGUCGCGCCCUUGGUCUGUGAAUCUGUGAUCUUUGGCUUGCAGGCAUAGCCUGUUCCCUUCUUCAGGACUGGGAGGUGUCUGUGUCUUUGCAGCUGUGGUCUGUCUCCCUGCCUGGCUUCCUCAAAGACCCCACGGCACUUUGCUGACCUCAUUUCCACAUUCCUGCAGCGUAACACGUGGAUUAAAGCCAAUUUAUUACCCCA